RNAcentral lists this transfer RNA (83 nucleotides) under Clostridium sp. CAG:356. RNAcentral's name for it is "transfer RNA-Leu(CAA)". It matches the Rfam family "tRNA". Rfam says of the family: Transfer RNA (tRNA) molecules are approximately 80 nucleotides in length. RNAcentral also lists the same sequence under 1 other name. Lineage: Bacteria; Bacillati; Bacillota; Clostridia; Eubacteriales; Clostridiaceae. The record is from RNAcentral.
GCCCGAAUGGCGGAACUGGCAGACGCACACGACUCAAAAUCGUGCGGGAAACCAUGUGGGUUCGAGUCCCACUUUGGGCACCA